RNAcentral lists this ribosomal RNA (793 nucleotides) under Salmonella enterica subsp. enterica serovar Typhi str. CT18. RNAcentral describes it as "partial 23S ribosomal RNA". It matches the Rfam family "Bacterial large subunit ribosomal RNA", at positions 2150 to 2925 of the family's 2925-position model. The record is from RNAcentral. Lineage: Bacteria; Pseudomonadati; Pseudomonadota; Gammaproteobacteria; Enterobacterales; Enterobacteriaceae.
GGAGGCUUUGAAGUGUGGACGCCAGUCUGCAUGGAGCCGACCUUGAAAUACCACCCUUUAAUGUUUGAUGUUCUAACGUGGACCCGUGAUCCGGGUUGCGGACAGUGUCUGGUGGGUAGUUUGACUGGGGCGGUCUCCUCCUAAAGAGUAACGGAGGAGCACGAAGGUUGGCUAAUCCUGGUCGGACAUCAGGAGGUUAGUGCAAUGGCAUAAGCCAGCUUGACUGCGAGCGUGACGGCGCGAGCAGGUGCGAAAGCAGGUCAUAGUGAUCCGGUGGUUCUGAAUGGAAGGGCCAUCGCUCAACGGAUAAAAGGUACUCCGGGGAUAACAGGCUGAUACCGCCCAAGAGUUCAUAUCGACGGCGGUGUUUGGCACCUCGAUGUCGGCUCAUCACAUCCUGGGGCUGAAGUAGGUCCCAAGGGUAUGGCUGUUCGCCAUUUAAAGUGGUACGCGAGCUGGGUUUAGAACGUCGUGAGACAGUUCGGUCCCUAUCUGCCGUGGGCGCUGGAGAACUGAGGGGGGCUGCUCCUAGUACGAGAGGACCGGAGUGGACGCAUCACUGGUGUUCGGGUUGUCAUGCCAAUGGCACUGCCCGGUAGCUAAAUGCGGAAGAGAUAAGUGCUGAAAGCAUCUAAGCACGAAACUUGCCCCGAGAUGAGUUCUCCCUGAGACUUUAGGUCUCCUGAAGGAACGUUGAAGACGACGACGUUGAUAGGCCGGGUGUGUAAGCGCAGCGAUGCGUUGAGCUAACCGGUACUAAUGAACCGUGAGGCUUAACCUUACAACGCCGAAG